GCUUUUCAGUAGUUUACUACAGAAAAUGACUGAGCGGCCCCUUAAUGAGUAACGCGUGAGCAACCUACCUUAGUUACUGGGAUAGUUCCGAGGAAACUCGGAUUAAUACCGGAUAUUCUUAUUUAAUCACAUGAUUUUUUAAGGAAAGGUCAGCCGAACUAAGAUGGGCUCGCGUUCUAUCAGCUAGUUGGUAGGGUAACGGCCUACCAAGGCUACGACGGAUAGCUGGUCUGUGAGGACGAUCAGCCACACUGGGACUGAGACACGGCCCAGACUCCUACGGGAGGCUGCAGCAGGGAAUAUUGUGCAAUGAACGAAAGUUUGACACAGCGACACCGCGUGUGGGAUGACGGAUCUAGGUUUGUAAACCACUUUCAGGAGGGAAGAAAAUGACGGUACCUCCACAAGAAGCCCCGGCCAACUACGUGCCAGCAGCCGCGGUAAUACGUAGGGGGCAAGCGUUGUCCGGAUUUAUUGGGCGUAAAGAGCUCGUAGGCGGUUCAACAAGUCGGUCGUGAAAGUUCAGGGCUCAACCCUGAAAUGUCGAUCGAUACUGUUGUGACUAGGAUACGGCAGAGGUGAGUGGAAUUCCGAGUGUAGCGGUGAAAUGCGUAGAUAUUCGGAGGAACACCAAUUGCGAAGGCAGCUCACUGGGCCGCUAUCGACGCUGAGGAGCGAAAGCUAGGGGAGCAAACAGGAUUAGAUACCCUGGUAGUCCUAGCUGUAAACGAUGGAUACUAGAUGUAGGAAUUGGUUUAACGAUUUCUGUAUCGUAGCUAACGCGUUAAGUAUCCCGCCUGGGGAGUACGGUCGCAAGACUAAAACUCAAAGGAAUUGACGGGACCCCGCACAAGCGGCGGAGCAUGCGGCUUAAUUCGAUGAUACCCGUAGAACCUUACCUGGACUUGACAUAUAGGGAAAAGUUAUAGAAAUAUAAUGUGCAUUAGCGCCCUAUACAGGUGGUGCAUGGCUGUCGUCAGCUCGUGUCGUGA
RNAcentral lists this ribosomal RNA (992 nucleotides) under uncultured marine bacterium. RNAcentral describes it as "bacterial SSU rRNA". It matches the Rfam family "Bacterial small subunit ribosomal RNA", at positions 66 to 1070 of the family's 1533-position model. The record is from RNAcentral.